This 400-nucleotide ribosomal RNA is filed under the name uncultured bacterium. RNAcentral describes it as "bacterial SSU rRNA". It matches the Rfam family "Bacterial small subunit ribosomal RNA", at positions 356 to 773 of the family's 1533-position model. The record is from RNAcentral.
GGGGAAUAUUGGACAAUGGGCGCAAGCCUGAUCCAGCCAUGCCGCGUGAGUGAUGAAGGCCUUAGGGUUGUAAAGCUCUUUCACCGGUGAAGAUAAUGACGGUAGCCGGAGAAGAAGCCCCGGCUAACUUCGUGCCAGCAGCCGCGGUAAUACGAAGGGGGCUAGCGUUGUUCGGAAUUACUGGGCGUAAAGCGCACGUAGGCGGAUUGGUCAGUUAGGGGUGAAAUCCCAGGGCUCAACCCUGGAACUGCCUUUAAUACUGCCAGUCUUGAGUUCGAGAGAGGUGAGUGGAGUUCCGAGUGUAGAGGUGAAAUUCGUAGAUAUUCGGAGGAACACCAGUGGCGAAGGCGGCUCACUGGCUCGAUACUGACGCUGAGGUGCGAAAGCGUGGGGAGCAAAC